RNAcentral lists this ribosomal RNA (268 nucleotides) under Hemicordylus capensis (graceful crag lizard). RNAcentral's name for it is "partial 16S large subunit ribosomal RNA". Lineage: Eukaryota; Metazoa; Chordata; Lepidosauria; Squamata; Cordylidae. The record is from RNAcentral.
GCCAUAGCUGAAGCCCAAUAAAACCACCAAAUAUACUAUACCAUUAAAAUCAAACCAUUUGACUAAAAAAGUAUUUGAGAAAGAACUUUUAAGCCGGAGCAAAUCUACCGCAAGGGAAAAUUGAAAGAAAAAUGAACAACAAAGCACAACAAAGCAAAGAUCACCCUUGUACCUCUCGCAUCAUGAUUUAGCAAGCAACCCCAGACAAAGAGGCCUUAAGCCUGACGUCCCGAAACUGAGUGAGCUACUUCCGGGCAAUAAUAUGAUC